UGGGGAAUAUUGCACAAUGGGCGAAAGCCUGAUGCAGCAACGCCGCGUGAGUGAUGAAGGCCUUCGGGUUGUAAAGCUCUGUCUUCUGGGACGAUAAUGACGGUACCAGAGGAGGAAGCCACGGCUAGCUACGUGCCAGCAGCCGCGGUAAUACGUAGGUGGCAAGCGUUGUCCGGAUUUACUGGGCGUAAAGGAGGCGUAGGCGGAUACUUAAGUCAGAUGUGAAAAUCCCGGGCUUAACUUGGGAACUUCAUUUGAAACUGGGUAUCUAGAGUGCGGGAGAGGAAAGUGGAAUUCCUAGUGUAGCGGUGAAAUGCGUAGAGAUUAGGAAGAACACCAGUGGCGAAGGCGACUUUCUGGACCGUAACUGACGCUGAGGCAUGAAAGCGUGGGGAGCAAACA
RNAcentral lists this ribosomal RNA (402 nucleotides) under uncultured bacterium. RNAcentral describes it as "bacterial SSU rRNA". It matches the Rfam family "Bacterial small subunit ribosomal RNA", at positions 355 to 774 of the family's 1533-position model. The record is from RNAcentral.